RNAcentral lists this long non-coding RNA (11816 nucleotides) under Citrus maxima (pomelo). RNAcentral's name for it is "long non-coding RNA (CMAX_LNC000404)". Lineage: Eukaryota; Viridiplantae; Streptophyta; Magnoliopsida; Sapindales; Rutaceae. The record is from RNAcentral.
UUCUCCUUUAGAGUUGCUAUCUUCUUGCCGUCGAACAACAAUCUUUUGAACACAAUCUUGCGUGAAGAUUGUGGGCUUCGGAUCUGAUACUGCUGUGGGAACUUUACGGGCGGAAACAGAGAGGUGCAAUUUAAAACGAUAUUGUUAUUGCACAUAUUAUCAUUAUCAUUAAUCACCCCACGAGCGAUUUCACUCCAGGUUUUCAUGAAGUUAAAGAUUGCCGAACCGUCGGCCACUCCAUGAGAAAAACAAACACCAAUUGCCAUUUCACCGCUGUUGAACAAAUUUACUUGGACAGCCAAAAGUUCUCUUUCAGAAAUCUCUAAAUUCGAUAAUUGGGGACUAGGUGGGAUUAAUUGUUGUAGCAGCUCCAUAUCUGGUGGUUGAAGAAACUUUGAUAGAUCACAGCCAACAUUUGCUUCAAUAAAUGCAGCCCCAUGAUCAUUACAGUCGACCGAAAAACCAUCAAUGAAUCUUCCAGCAAAAGGGUAGUAGUGGGUUAAUGUUGUUGCGAGAGAUUGCUUCAAUAAAUCAGAUUUUUUUCUGAAAUCUUGGUUCUUGCAACUGGCCGAGUAGAAGAAAACUAGGGGAAUGUAAAAAUCAGAAUUCAUUUGAUCAAUCAAUGAAAGUUUAUAGGUUCUAAGAUGUUUUCGCGUUGGAAGUGAAGGUUUGACUCUUUCGGUGGAAAUGAUCUGAACAUCAGAAGUGGCACUUUUGAUACUUCUUUUUGAGAAGAUCUGGACGUUAUUGGUGAUUAAUUUGGAAGCAGUUAUUCGGAAAAUGUUUUUGAGAUUCACUGCCAUCUUUUGCUGGCUUUGAGAAAUUAUUCACCAAAGUGAGUGUUGAGUGGCAUAUAGUGUGCAACCAAAUUCAUCAUAUUUAUUAUAAGUGUCUUGCAUAAUUGCUUCUGAAAAGAUCGGAUCUCCAAAAUAAUAAAGAAAAUCAAAACGAAUCCCUUAGAAAAUAUACAAAGUCAACAAAUGGAGGUGAUUUCAAUAAUAGACAAUAUUAAAACAAUUCUCACUCUCCGGGUCUGAAGGCUGAAUAUGCCGGUGACAAGGCACAGCGUGGUGCUCACCCCCUAUUAAGUCAAUAGAUCAGAUUGAGAUAAUAUCAAAUUUUAAUAAUUCUUGUUACUUGUUAUAUAAGAACAUAUAUUUAAUAACUAAAGUUGGUUGGUGUGAGUGGUUCGACACUCUCACUCCUUAAGAGAGGUCAGGGGUUCAAGCCCCGCUCUCGUAUGGAGUCACCACUUUGGCCAGCACUUUACUCCUUAUGGGCCGACCCGGUGCGAGCGGGGAUUAGUCUGGGUUGUGGUACGGGCUUAAAGGUGCCUCCCACAGUUGGGGCCCACUCAGGACCACCUCGUGGUUCAGACAAAAAAAAAAGAACAUAUAUUUAAUAAUUGGAAAGAAGAGAAAUUAAUGAAUAAAAUUAAGAGUGAUGAUACAACCACAAACUCUUGUACAAACUUAAUUUAUACAAACAGAUGUGUCAUUAAUUCAUUGGUUGAAUGAAAAUAUAAAAUAAUAGAAAUAAAUCAUGUGGGCCAAGAGAUAUUUAAUUCAACUAAUUUUAUUAUGCCACAUUAGUUUGUAUAAGAGUUUGUGACUAUAUCAUUAUUCUAAAAUUAAAUAAAAUUCACUGGUAGAUUCCAUUAAUUAACCCGAAAGCUGUGCAUAUAUAUCUUGUUUAUUAAAAUUUGCGCAACACAUAAGUAUUUUAUGAAACUAACACAAAUAUUUAAGAUUUAUCCGUAAAUAUGCUAGUUAUUAUUUUAUUUUAAUGUCACCAGAAUAUUAAUUAGAAAGAAAUAACUUUUUGUACCUCCGACGGAAUAAGUCGAGUUGGUUUGUCCCCUUCUAGUGAAAACAAGAAGUCACAUGAUCAUUUCCCUCUCCCACCAACCCUGGGAAAUAAACUUAUUUAAUUGAUUUUUUAUGUAUAGGAUGGAAUAUGAAAUUAACUUUUGAUACUUUUUGUUGAAAUUUGAAUUAUAUACAAGGACAUAAAUAUAUAUAUGAUGUGCUAGGUGAUUAGUGUGAGUGGGUAUACGGGCAGGUGUGUGCGUGCGCCUGCGUGUAUGCAUGUUUGCAUGUGCAUGCACGAGUGUGUGUUUGUGUGUGUGUGUGCACGCUUGGGUGGGUGGGUGCGUGCAUGUGUGUGUACGCACGUUCGUGUGUGUCUAUGUGUGCGUGCGUGCGUGUGUGUCUGUGUUUGUAUGCAUGCAUGUGCGUGCGUGCAUGUGUGUGUGUGUGCAUGCAUGCGUGCAUGAAUGUGUGUGUGUGGGAAGGUGCAUUGGCAUAUACAUUUCGUUUUCUAUGAAAUGAGAGAGCGAGUUUUAGCAAGCUGAUUUCAAAGAAAGUAAGCGAAUUUUCUUUUUUCUUUGGGUGCUUGAAUUCACUACUCUCUUGGUAAAAACUCUAUAUGUUAUGUUUAGAGAUAAGUGGGUGAAGGAUGCUUGUGUAAAGCCCAAAAUAGGUAUUAUGUGAAAGCAUGAAUGUUAAGUCAGGGUGGUAAUUGAAUGAAGGUAGUUCAAGUAAGUGAUUUGAAAGGAAAUGUUUUGAAAAUGACCCCAAGUUUUGAAGAAUUUCUUUUACGAUGUUUUUCAGAGAGCAUUGAAUGUCGUGUAUUUGUAUUAGAUAUAAGUAUGUAUGUAUUUUGGUAUAUGAAAAAUUACUUUCUUUACUAAUUCUCGUAUUCAUUAAAGUUUAUUGUGAUUUCCAUACAUUAAGAUUGAUUCAUGUUAAGUGAUGAAAAAACCUAAAUUGAGGAUAAUAGAUAGUUUGGCAAAUUUUUAAAAUUUUCCAUUAUUUAAGUAUCGACUGUUUAUAUAUUGUGCAAAGAUUUUUCAGUUUAUUAGUUUUAGCGCUUCUGCCAUGCUCUAGUUGUAAAUUGUAUCUGGAGACCCCCCUCGGAUUCCGUCUGGAAAUCAGGGAGAGUUGUUCCAAAAGAUCUGAUUAAGAUAUAUCAAAUUAUAAUAAUUCUUGUUACUUGUUACAUAAGAACAUAUAUGGAAAGAAGGGAAAUUAAUAAAGAAGGUAAAGAAAAUCCGUAGGCAAAUUUUGUUUACUUUUGAUACUUUUACUGUACACACACACAUCUUGUUUACUAAAAUUUUCACAACACUUAAAAAUUCUAGUAAAGUAACACAAAUAUUUAAGAUUUGUUUUUUAAUGUCAUAAGAAUAUUAAUUAACGAAAAUAACUCUUGCAUCUCUUAGGGCCGCAGCUACUUUGCGUCAUGGGUUUCGUACCCAAGUCGUUUGUCUUGUAGCAUGGUCACCGUUAGAUUUCAUCUCGUGGCUGCAGAAGAGACACACAGACGCAAGAGAGUAACCUGAGAUAAAGGUCAUGGGCCGGUAACACUGCAGGGAAUCAACUUUUUGACCAAAAAAACGCCUGUAGUGGUUGGAAGUUGUAACAGUAACGCAUGUAAAAUAAUUAAAAAAAGUGCAUGCAAGUAUUGGUUAAAACUUAAAAGCAAGAAGUUGGAAGCGUGCAAGUAUGGGUUGGGGUUAGAAUGAUUUGAAAAUUUCGAAAAUAGUGACGAAAACAUUUGGAAGUGGAUUUAAGGUAAUGAAUUGCGUGCUUGGUGGGAAAAAAAAUGCGAAAUAUCAACUGUAAUUUUAAAAGUAGCGUGGCAUGAAUUUACAGUUGAGUUAGUGUAUAAUUCGAUUUUGUGGGAAAUUUGCGUAUGAGUUGAGUAAAUGAAAACCAUAUAAAAAAAAUGUGAAGAAAAAUUAUGUAGCGUGUAAUAAUAAUAAUAAUAAUAAUAAUAAUAAUAAAUAAAUAAAUAAAUAAAUAAAUAAAUAAAUAAAUAAAAAAUAAAAAAAUGAUCAGGCAAUGCAUUGCAAAAGUAAUUGGUCGGGAAAAAAAAGGGAAAAAUUCCAUUUAACCUGAAUAAUAUGUAAUUUUAAUUUUAUCCUUAGAGUUUAAAUAAUAGGCCAUGCCAUUUCCAAAUUUGAACAACAACAACAAUAAUAAUAAAACUAGUAGUGGUUAAUAUUAUAAUUAUGACGACGACGACGAUGAUAAUUUGUGUAAUAAUAAUAAUUUUAAAAAUAGUAAAUCAUCAACCAAGAAAUGGAGGCUUUUUUGAGAUGACUGAUCAAUUAAAAGAGGAAAAAAGAAAGAGAAAAAUAUCUUCGACACUCUAUUUUAACUAUUUUUUGUGACAGUCUCAAUUGUUUGUUGUAAGUAUAGAAACUAUGAGUUUUAUAGUUUGUUACAGAAUAAGACCCUAAUAAAUUAGCAUAAUUAAAAAAUUCUGUAUUAGAUGGAAAAGGAUUUAAGUCUGUAAAUCUGAAAAAAUUCGUGAAAUCAGGAGAAAUAAUAUAUAUUGAAUUAAAAAUAUAAAACUGAAAAAUAUAGCAAUGGUAGUGAGCAGUACAAAAAAAUGUAAAAUUUAGAUAUAGUUAAAUUAACACAAUAUUAUAUCUAAUUCGAUAACAAUUCAAAAAAAAAUAAAAAAUACGUAAAUAUAGCUUCGUAAACAUUAAGAAACAAAAAACAUAAGCUAAACAAAAAAUUUUGGCAUAUAACACCGAAGCUAUCCCCGACGGCAUGCACAAGGCAUAACUAUUUCACUUCACUAGUUAAAGUAAUUAAAUGUAAUUGCUAACUUUGUUUUGAAGCUUCUCGAGUUUCAUAAUUAUUUGCCGUUACACCGAGACUCUGAAGUUUGAACUUAGAAAUUGAUAAUUUUAGUUACAUUUGAUGUACUGAUCAAAACAAAUGAAAAUUUGUAUAUCGGUGUGUUAAAAUUGGGAAUUAUGAAUGUAUUAUCGUAGCUUAAUAUUAAUUAAUAUGUUGUUCAAUUAUGAUUUUAACUGGUAGUAAAGUUAAUUUUACAUUAGAAAAUUUAAUUGAAAAAAAAAAAAUAUGAAUGAGAUAUUUGUUUAUAUAAAUACUGCGUAGAUUGGAUGGAAAAAAAAUUGCAUCUACAAAUCAAUCUGCCAAACGAUGGAGUACAUAUGGAUUGGGUCUGAUUUGCAUCCGAUCCGUAAAAAUAUGAAUUGGAAUUCGAUUCAGUUUAAGUAAUCAGUGGAUUUGAUUUGAUUGAACACAUUAAAAUCCGUAAAAUUGUGGAUCAUAUAUGGAUUGAUGUGCAAUCCGCAAAAUCUGAGACGCGAACACCCGUAAAAGUGAACCUUCUUGUGCAGGGGGAUGUGGACCAACAUAUCCAAAUUAAAUGAACAAGAACAUGUGGUAAAGAACAAAGAUGAACGAUAUUGGCGGCGGAUGAGAAGAAUGAAGGCCUGAUUAUGUUGUAUAGUGACAGAAGCACCCCCCCCCCCCCCCCCCCCCCCCCCCGGCUGGAGGCGAUAAACAAUAUCAAUCGGACACCGAGAUGUGAAUCGCACGAAUGUCGGCAUCAAUAAGAAAAUUGUAACGCACGGGAUGCAAAAUGUCUCUCUACCCAUCAAUAAGGUAUGAAGGGUUAUUUAAAGUAAGAAUAAUACAGUUUCCUUUUCAAAUUAGAAGGUGAAAUUGCUGCCUCGUACCUAAAUAUGUUACAGGACUUUCGAAUCUUAUGUUCAUCAGGGAAGAUAAAAGGGUUACGUUAGAAGGCAUAAAAGAUAGUUCCUUAGAAAACAGUAAUUUGAUAGGAGAAUGUCCCAUAAUCUAUUAAUGUAGGUUAAUAUUCAUUGUUGACAAUUUCAAAAUUAAGUAAUAGGAUAAUUAUAGCAGAAAUUAUUUAUUAAAAUAAAAAAUAAUGUAAUGUAUGCGAUGAGAUUAAAGUAAAUUUACAGGAAUGAAAUUACAUGUUAGAUUUAAUUAAUUUGAAGAAAUAAGAUGACGACAGUAUGAGGAGAUGCUUUACAUCGGUACCGAAGCAUUUAGUAAAUAUAUAUGCAAUUGGAAAAUGGAAAAAUUGGUACAUGUUAAUUUGCGUGAUGAUAAUUUGCGUAAUAAUAACAACAAUAAAUUUAAAAAUAGUAAAUCAUCAACCAAGAAAUAGCGGCUUAAUUGAGAUGAAGGAUAAGUUAAAACAAUAAAAAAGAAAGAGAAAAAUAUAUUCGACACUCUAUUUUAUUUGUUGUAAGUAAUAGAAAGUAUGAGUUGUAUAGUUUGUUACAGAAGAAGCCCGAAUUAAAUUGUAAUAAUUAAAGAAGUAAUAAAAUUAUCUGACAUGUUAUUUAGUAGCCCUUAUUUGUUUCGUAUAAGAGUUUAAAGUAAUAAGUGUGAAAUAAAAAAUAAUAAUUUUAGUGUUCGAAAGAAAUUGUGUUGGAUAUAUGCAUCCCUUUUAGUCAGUAUAUUUUAUUGUAAAUCUUAAUUUAUUAAGUAGAAAAUAUAUAAUUCUCCUAAUAUAAUAACACACAGAGAGUCUUCUAGGUGACACAACUUAAAAGUAAUUUUUAACUCUCAAGUAUAAGAGUGUCUUGUUAUAUUAUAGUUCGGUGAGUUCGAGGUCGAUACACAAAAAAAGAUUUAUUUGUUUAUUUUACUUUUGCUAAAAAUGGCUAGGGUUAUGGAUCCACCCUUAGUAGUAAAUAAAAUUUAAUAAAUUCUUUUCGCCAUUUUUUAUUUAGAUUUAUUGUCGAAAAGAUUAAUUAUAUAAAUUAUCAUUAUUUUCCCUUUAAUUUUAUGAUGGAUUAAUAUUUAUUGUGACAAAAUUUAAUUUGUCUACAAUAAAUGAAAAUAUCAUUUUGUCAUACCUUAUAUUAAGAAUUAAGAAUUUAUUGUGUCAAACUCCCUUAUUUGUCUACAAUAAAUCAAAAUUUCAAAAUAUAAAAUAUGUAAAAAAUUAAAUAGAGUUUAUGUCCAGUCACCUGGAGGGGAACAACUGCUUAGUAAAAAAACACAUGUAGUAAGUUGAAAAUAUUUUUACGACUUAUGUGUUUAAACAAAUAACAAACUGAUGUAUGGAGUUGAGGUUGCAAGCGUUCCCCUUGCCAUUGAAACUAGCUACGAAGGUCUUGAACGUUCUGCCUUUUCCACCAAUAAAUGUAUUAUUGUUUUAGUUGGAGACGUUAGAGUUGGCACCCUAGUGCUACAGGUAAAAUAACAAUACUCUUGUUUCUUGUGUUUUCUUUGCUUGGCUCCAUUAAUAUUUUACACGAAUUACUUUUGUUUUAAAUUUUGUUGGUGGCCUGCUUUGGGUAUUCAUUGUGGCACUCUCAUUUUGUGGGUGAAUGAUUUUCAUAAUCUCGAUUUACUUGCAUUUAUUUUCAUGCAUGUUUUAUUGUUGGAUAUUCUAUAUUAUGGGGCAUUAUCUUGACCAAUGUUGAUGAUGAAGGACAUCUUUAUGGGGUCGCUGGAAGUUCUGGUGGUUAUGCAGAAACAGUAUUCAGACAUGCUGCUAAAACACUAUUUGGAAAAGUUAUUGAAGGUCAUCUAGAAUUUAAAACCAUCAGAAACUCUGAUUUCCGAGAGGUGGCUCUGGAAGUGGAGGGAAAAACGUUGUUGAAAUUUGCCCUAUGUUAUGGCUUCCAGAACCUGCAAAACAUUGUCAGGAGAGUGAAAAUGCGAAAAUGUGAUUAUCACUUUGUGGAGAUCAUGGCAUGCCCUUCAGGUUGCAUGAAUGGUGGAGGUCAGGUCAAGCCUAAGCCAGGGCAAUCACCGAAGGAGUUGAUUAAGACACUGGAAACCAUCUAUUUGGAAAAUGUAAUGGUAGCUGAUCCUUUCAAAAAUUCUCUGGUGAAAAGCUUGUAUGAUGAGUGGCUUGAGCCACCUGGUUCAGAGAAAGCUAAAAAGCACGUGCACACAGAAUAUUAUCCUGUGGUGAAAAGUAUCACCGCUCAGUUGCAUAAUUGGUGAAAGCAUUCACCAUCCCAACACUUGAUCGUAGACAAUUUUGGAACUUAAGAACUCUCUUCUUGUGCCCCAUGCCAUCUCCGAGUUGUUUUAGCAAAUUUCAGACAUGGCACCACAGCGAUGCUGGCCAUUUUUUGUCAAUCAUGGGAUUGCAUUUGCAGGGAAGUCCAAUUUUGAUAGAGUAAACAUAUAUUUAUUUACUUCAAAGGUUUUCACUCAUGUACAUACUAUGUAUUAGAAAUGUUACAUAUAGAAGAAAGCAUUGAGGUAGGCACUGAUGCCUCAUGGCACUUAAUUUCAUUUCCUUGUAUCAUUUUUUCUUAGUUGAACAGUCCGAAUAAGGUUCCCUUUGCUCAAAAAAAAAAAAAAAAAAAGCUUCGGGGUUUCAAUACCCAAGUGAAUUAAUGAAACAUGUAUUGAAUAGCAAAGCUUACUCUCUCAUCUGCUGAGAUUGUAAAUAUCACAUUUACUGGGUAGAAAUUGAAGAAAACUCUUCUACAAUUUCAGCCGUAACCACCUAUAUCACCAAUUCUUCAAUUUAUUCAUAAACUAUUUUACCUUACCCUCCACAGAGCCUGCAGUUGACACACUAGCCAAAGUAAUUGUAGGCAGAACCCUCGCAUAUCAUACAUUCAAAACAAUUUAGACUCAUAAAUCAUAAUUCUUGAAUUUACCCCAACGGAAAAUGAAAUUACAGCAAGUAAAGAAAAGAACAAACAAAAUCAAUUAACAAUCAUAUAAACAAAACUCAGAAAAACAAAAUAAAUUAACAAUCAUACCAACAAAACCUAGAAAAACAAAAUAAAUUAACAAUCACAUGAACAAAAUAGAUGCAGCACAAUUUACCAAAAUACAAACACUUGAACAUAGCUUAAUUUUAUUGGAAAGCAAUUCAAAAAGUCAAUUAAUUAAUACAAAUUGAAAUUCCGACCAGAUUUUUCAGCCCCCAAUUUAUUUGUUUAUUACGAUUUCACAAUAACGAACUGGACUUAAUUUGAUCCAAAUCGGAACUGAACCCGUCAUGUCGUGCGGGUUUUAUUUUUAUUUUUUAAAAAUCAUUAAGUCAAGGGAUGGGAAAAGGAAAAACCCUAGCCCCAAAUUAGCAAAGCAAGCCGCCCACUUCUGCAAACUCAGAACUCAAGUUGGCGCCUUACAUAGAUGCAGCACCACCACCACCACCAUCACUAGGCGAAUCAAAGCAGAGACGUAGCAGCACCACCACUAGCUGAAUCAGAGCAGAGACGAAGCGGCAGCAGCAGCAGCCGUCGAUUCUCAAUUACAGCAGCAACAGAGCAGAGACGCAAUCGCAAUAGCACACGGAGCCAAGAUGCAGCAGCAGCUUUCUCUCUCAACGCAAUAGCUGAUUUUGCUUGAAGAACUGUGACAGUCAAUUGUGGAUGAAAUACAAGAGUAUUCACGAAGAGAGAGAGAGAGAAAAAGAGAGAGAGCUCUGCGAAAUUGGAUUGAAUUAUCUUUUUUGUUUUCGUUUUACUGGUAUUACAGCUUCAGCCGGUUACCCAUUUUCCAACCGUUAAAUCUCAGCCGUUAACUACCUUUGUUAACAAUCUAAGGAUUCAUUCGCUAAGAGACAAAUAACUGGGGUACCAAACCCAUGACGCAAGGUAGCUGGACCCAUCUCUUAGGGGAUAAGUCGAGCUGUUUUGCCACUUGUAGUGAUAAAAGUAGGUCACAUGAUCAAUUUCCCUUCAAACCCAACCCUGGAAAAGAAAGUUAUUAAAUUGGUGUUUAUAUAUAUGAUAAGAUGUGAAAUUAAACACAAAAGUCAUAAAAUUAACUUUCGAUACUUUUGCUGAAAUUUGAAUUAUAUACAAGGAGAUAAAUUUCUUAUAUUCAAUUUCGAGUUAGGUGGGGGGUUAAAAAAUCAAUUUAUACUUUAAUCACUCCUAACUUUUUAAGUAAUAAACUAAAUUAAAAAAAUUAAGGUUUCACAAAGAAAUUAUUUAAGAAUUCCUACUUCCAUAUUAAUAUCAUAGAAAUGUUAUUUUUAUUUAACAUUGUAAGAAAUCAAUCGGAAACAUCAGGAAAAAAACAAGAGAGAAGAAAUAUAAUUAACAAAUUAACAACUCUUUUAUUCAAAACAAGUACAUGUUGAUACUAGCAAAAAAAUAUAUUCAUCUCACCCAAAACCAAAGGAUUGUUAUAUACUCCUAAAUACUCAACACAUAACUUAGAAGUCAAAUAUAUAUAUCUGCUAUUAUUAAAAAAAUUUGACAAUGCAAGCAUCCAUUAGAGCAGCUUUUGUAGUCAAAACAUUGGAAUCUCAGCCACCAUCCAUCGUUUGAUUCGUUUCCAACGGCCUGGACGACAGUGGAGAGAAUCAAUAAGCAUUUGAGCACCAGGCAACAAAAAAAUUUGCUAGACUUUCCAUGGAAGUGAAAUCUGCUACAUCGCUAAUUCGAUAAUGGCAUGAUGAUUUCUCGAAUAAAUUUAUUGCUUCUCGCAACAUUGGAAAGUUUUUUUUUUUGAGAUCAAUGGAAUUUUUGCUCCAAGUAAGGCACAUUUAUCUGUAGUGAAAUUUGGUAGAGCAAAUGACAAUAGUUCUAAUACCAUGUCUAUUUUGUAAAUCUUUGCUAGAAUUUUAUGUACUCCAGAGAAAAGAGCUCAUGAAUUUUUUCUCUGCUUUGUGACGAGAAUAGGUACUAUGAAUUUGUUUUUAUAUUGGAUUUAAAAGUUCAAUGUCAUAAAUAUUUGAUUUGAAGAAUCCAUUUCUCAUUUUUUCUCCAUUAAAUUUAAACUUUAGUAAAAGAUAUGGCGGGGAUGCUUGGUCGAAAGGUAUGAUAUAAUACCAUAUAAAACAAUUCAAGUUAAAUAGAAAUUAGUAACUAAUUUCACAGGGUGAGCUUAAGGAUAAAAUUAAUUAGUCUCUUGGACAUAGCAAGGUUGGUCGUGAAACGGUUUGUAUCCGUGAUCGCCGGAUUUUGAAUAAUAAUAGGGAUAACGGUUGGUAUUUAGAGGAUGAGACAUGAUUUCUUAUCCCCGUCCAAACCUUUGAGCAAAUAGUAGUUUAUAAUAUUUAUUUAAUUAAUCUAUUAUUUAAAGAGAAGUAUGAUAAUAAUGAGAUACAUUUAUUGUACAAUAAUCUCAACUUUGUAAGCAUAUUACUAUUCUAACUAGAAUACAAUUCUUUUAUUCAAAGCAAGAUAAAUAAAAUUAACUCCUUACUUCCUUAUAAAUAUGCUAGGGUUAGCGGAAGCAUAAGCCAUGAUGCUAGUUUCUUGUUCAAAUUUUUCCAUGUCCUCCUUAAACAUUACCACCAAUGCUUCUAUUCCUUCACCGUCACUUGCGCUUGUUAAAAUAGCAAGAUCAGGUAACAAUAUGGGCCCGAGACUAAACCAAACAGGCUUCCCCCAACCAAAAUCAACUUCAUCACAAGGCAAUCCAACCAUACUAGUCAAAAGAAAUGACCUUGAAUCUUCCCCUACUUGGUACAUAUCCUUAAUGAAACCAAAAUACUCAUCAUUAUUCAUCACAUCUCUUCCCAUUCUCUUGGCUUUUACCACUUCUCUUACUAAAUUUGUUACCUGUAUGGCAUCAUCCUCGGCUAGUGACCAUUCUGCCCUUACAAGCCGAGUAAUGUUGCCCAUGCACCGUGGAAACAUUGGUGGAUUCAUCUUGUUACGCAAAUUCAUAGCAUAAUACAUUGAAUGAGAGUGCAACUUGUUAUCAAUUGCCCUCUUUCUUUCACGCGCUACAGCGAUGGAGGCACCCCAAAUGAGUGCUGAAACAACCCCGAAACGUGUUGCUUGUAACACGUCAUCGUCAGAAUUGUUAUCAGCCAUUAAUUCUUUAUUCACCUUCUCCUUUAGAGUUGCUAUCUUCUUGCCAUCGAACAACAAUCUUUUGAACACAAUCUUGCGUGAAGAUUGUGGGCUUGGGAUCUGAUACUGCUGUGGGAACUUUACUGGCGGAAACAGAGAGGUGCAAUCUAAAACGAUAUUGUUAUUGAACAUAUUAUCAUUAUCAUUAAUCACCCCACGAGCGAUUUCACCCCAGGUUUUCAUGAAGUUAAAGAUUGCCGAACCGUCGGCCACUCCA